AAGAAAAAGGGGUGAAAAGAACAAAGUUUUGUCCAUCUUUGUUCAUCAUAGCUGAAAGUUAGAGAAGAGAAAGGAGAGGAGAAAGCUUUUGAGUAUUCAGUCAUUAGGAGGAGGAAAAUUGAAGGCGGUUCGUGUGUGGAUCUUGUCAGCAUAUCGUCGCAAACAGGAAAUCCCCAACCAUAGUGGGCUUGGAGUUGUGAGGGAAUUCGAAGUGGCCACCCGUUCUGAAAGUUUGAUUUUCUUCUGGUGAACUGGACAUCCUUUUAAUUACGUUUGAGGUUUUGGGCUUUUAAAUGUAAUAA
This is a long non-coding RNA of Gossypium arboreum, 302 nucleotides long. RefSeq lists it as uncharacterized. The transcript is spliced from 3 exons. The record is from RefSeq and is a predicted model, not a curated record. Lineage: Eukaryota; Viridiplantae; Streptophyta; Magnoliopsida; Malvales; Malvaceae.